GAUGAACGCUGGCGGCGUGCCUAAUACAUGCAAGUCGAGCGAACAGACGAGGAGCUUGCUCCUCUAACGUUAGCGGCGGACGGGUGAGUAACACGUGGAUAACCUACCUAUAAGACUGGGAUAACUUCGGGAAACCGGAGCUAAUACCGGAUAAUAUAUUGAACCGCAUGGUUCAAUAGUGAAAGACGGUUUUGCUGUCACUUAUAGAUGGAUCCGCGCCGCAUUAGCUAGUUGGUAAGGUAACAGCUUACCAAGGCAACGAUGCAUAGCCGACCUGAGAGGGUGAUCGGCCACACUGGAACUGAGACACGGUCCAGACUCCUACGGGAGGCAGCAGUAGGGAAUCUUCCGCAAUGGGCGAAAGCCUGACGGAGCAACGCCGCGUGAGUGAUGAAGGUCUUCGGAUCGUAAAACUCUGUUAUUAGGGAAGAACAAAUGUGUAAGUAACUAUGCACGUCUUGACGGUACCUAAUCAGAAAGCCACGGCUAACUACGUG
Molecule: ribosomal RNA, 497 nt
Filed under: uncultured bacterium
Lineage: Bacteria
Description: partial 16S ribosomal RNA
Rfam family: Bacterial small subunit ribosomal RNA
Source: RNAcentral